CCUGUCUCAACAGAGAUGGAAAUACUAUCUUAAAGACCAGCCUAGAUACUGUGAACCAUGCCUGAUGGCUGGGAAAUCCACCAGAGUGGAUAGAGUAAUUGCUAAUGAGCAGUGCAAAACAGCAGCACCCUGGGAACUCCAAUUUUUACAAGGCUACCUUCCUUCUCCUCCUGAUGCAUGUGACAUCUGAGCCAUUCCAGCACAAAGGUUCUAAAAAUGCAUUUUCUAAAUAAAAAAUGUUCUUAUUGGUUCA
This is a long non-coding RNA of Haemorhous mexicanus (house finch), 253 nucleotides long. RefSeq lists it as uncharacterized. The transcript has 2 exons. NCBI's taxonomy places the organism in Eukaryota, Metazoa, Chordata, Aves, Passeriformes, Fringillidae. The record is from RefSeq and is a predicted model, not a curated record.